This 1230-nucleotide ribosomal RNA is filed under the name metagenome. RNAcentral describes it as "bacterial SSU rRNA". It matches the Rfam family "Bacterial small subunit ribosomal RNA", at positions 281 to 1498 of the family's 1533-position model. The record is from RNAcentral.
GGUUAGCUGGUCUGAGAGGAUGAUCAGCCACACUGGAACUGACACACGGUCCAGACUCCUACGGGAGGCAGCAGUGAGGAAUUUUGCGCAAUGGGGGAAACCCUGACGCAGCAACGCCGCGUGAGUGAUGAAGGCUUUUGGGUCGUAAAGCUCUGUCAAGUGGGAAGAAACCACGAGGUGAUAAUAUCGCUUUGUGCUGACGGUACCACUGAAGGAAGCACCGGCUAACUCCGUGCCAGCAGCCGCGGUAAUACGGGGGGUGCAAGCGUUAUUCGGAAUCAUUGGGCGUAAAGGGCGCGUAGGCGGUUUGUUAAGUCAGAUGUGAAAGCCCGGGGCUCAACCCCGGAAGUGCAUUUGAUACUGGCGGACUUGAGUAUGGGAGAGGGAAGUGGAAUUCCUGGUGUAGAGGUGAAAUUCGUAGAUAUCAGGAGGAACACCGGUGGCGAAGGCGACUUCCUGGACCAAUACUGACGCUGAGGCGCGAAGGCGUGGGUAGCAAACAGGAUUAGAUACCCUGGUAGUCCACGCAGUAAACGGUGAUCACUAGGUGUAGCGGGUAUUGACCCCUGCUGUGCCGCAGUUAACGCAUUAAGUGAUCCGCCUGGGGAGUACGGCCGCAAGGUUAAAACUCAAAGGAAUUGACGGGGGCCCGCACAAGCGGUGUAGCAUGUGGUUUAAUUCGACGCAACGCGAAGAACCUUACCUGGGUUUGACAUCUCGGGGAUUUUUUGGAAACAAGAAAGUGCCCUUCGGGGAGCCCGAAGACAGGUGCUGCAUGGCUGUCGUCAGCUCGUGUCGUGAGAUGUUGGGUUAAGUCCCGCAACGAGCGCAACCCUUAUCUUUAGUUACCAUCACUUCGGGUGGGGACUCUAAAGAUACUGCCCCGGUCAACGGGGAGGAAGGUGGGGAUGACGUCAAGUCCUCAUGGCCUUUAUGCCCAGGGCUACACACGUGCUACAAUGGGCGAUACAAAGGGUAGCGAGCCUGCGAAGGUGAGCCAAUCCCAAAAAGUCGUUCUUAGUUCGGAUUGGAGUCUGCAACUCGACUCCAUGAAGCUGGAAUCGCUAGUAAUCGCGGAUCAGCACGCCGCGGUGAAUACGUUCCCGGGCCUUGUACACACCGCCCGUCACACCAUGAGAGUUGGUUGUACCAGAAGUUGUUGGGCUAACCCGCAAGGGAGGCAGGCACCUAAGGUAUGGCUGAUGAUUGGGGUGAAGUCGUAACAAGGUA